CAGUCGCCUGCCGACUCUGCUUGUGCUUGUGUGACUCGCGCCGCUCUGUGCACCGCACUCGUGUCCCGAUCACGACGCGUGCCGCCCCGCUGUGGCCGCGAACCGCGACCUUCUACGCUACCAACGAUAUACUUCUCCUAACUUACGUGCAUCUUAAUAUGAUUUGACUUUGGACAUUUUAUAAGCUCCCUUUACCCGGCUUGUUUUACCCCUCAUCAUAGUUGAGCCCCGCACCGCACCGGCUUGCUCGCUGACCGCCGAGCCGCUAAUCUAGCUUUUUUCGCGCCCCACCGUCGCCAGCCCAGACCCACACCGGCCGCCGCAAUGCUCGCGCACCAAGCACAGCUCGCCCUCUACUAAACUCAUCAGUCAAUAUCUAUAAAAACGCGUGUGAUAACAAUAAUUUAAUACUCGCCUCUAUAAGCUUGCAACGUCGGUGUCUUUAAUUCUAACUUAAUUGUAAGGAUUAAUCAAUUAGUUAGUAACUAUCAUCGUAUCCGCGCGUCUCCCGCUGCGGAAGUAUAUUUCUCGCGUGUGCAGUAGUGUGUGAUAGUGAGGGUGCGCGAGAGCCUCCAGUGGCCAAGAGUAGUUUGCGACAAACCAGUGUGAGAAGUGCAUGCAAAGAGCGCGCCGUCGCGCUCGCCCGCUGUCACUGCCUAUGCGCCGCACUCGCACUGCGUAAAAGUGCGCGCGAAAACCGCCUCCUUUGAAGACAUAGCCAACAAUGGCCACCAUGGUGAACAUGAACAGCUUGCUGAACGGCAAGGACUCCCGCUGGUUACAACUCGAAGUAUGCAGGGAGUUCCAGCGGAAUAAGUGCUCGCGACCAGAUACUGAAUGCAAAUUUGCGCAUCCCCCGGCUACCGUCGAGGUGCAGAAUGGAAGAGUCACCGCCUGCUACGACAGUAUCAAGGGACGGUGUAACCGCGAGAAGCCACCCUGCAAAUACUUCCAUCCGCCACAACACCUGAAGGAUCAGCUGUUGAUCAACGGCAGGAAUCAUCUAGCCCUGAAGAACGCACUAAUGCAGCAAAUGGGUCUGACACCCGGGCAAGUGUUGCCCGGUCAGGUGCCCGCCGUGGCGACGUCACCUUAUUUGUCGGGGGUGCCGGGCGUGGGAUCGACGUACGCACAGUACUAUGCACCUCAGCUGGUGCCCGCAAUGUUGGGUCACGAUCCGGCAGCCGCCGCCGCCUCGCCACUCGGUGUCAUGCAGCAACCCGUGCUGCAACAGAAAUUGCCUCGUACCGAUCGUCUCGAGAUGGACAUGAAGAGCGUCGGUUCCUUCUAUUAUGAUAACUUUGCCUUCCCCGGCGUGGUGCCGUACAAGCGACCGGCUGCCGACAAAGCUGGUGUACCAGUGUAUCAGCCGGCGACAACCUACCAGCAACUGAUGCAGCUCCAGCAGCCGUUCGUGCCCGUGUCAUUUACUGGACACCCUCCCGGUGUGCCAAGAUUUUAAUCGGCAAGGAUGUUCAAGACCUACCUGCAGAUUCGUUCAUAUUCGCGAAGGGUGCGGGCUGCAGGUGGUGGGGUGCCGCGUGGUGGUGUGUCGCGAUGCCGCCGCCGGCACGUGCCGCCGCGCCGCCUGCCGCUACUACCACAUCCCCGUUCAAUUGCCACC
RNAcentral lists this unclassified non-coding RNA (1624 nucleotides) under Bombyx mandarina (wild silkworm). Its description in RNAcentral is "muscleblind-like protein, transcript variant X8". The record is from RNAcentral. Lineage: Eukaryota; Metazoa; Arthropoda; Insecta; Lepidoptera; Bombycidae.